This 253-nucleotide ribosomal RNA is filed under the name uncultured bacterium. Its description in RNAcentral is "partial 16S ribosomal RNA". It matches the Rfam family "Bacterial small subunit ribosomal RNA", at positions 524 to 776 of the family's 1533-position model. The record is from RNAcentral.
UACAGAGGGGGCUAGCGUUGUUCGGAAUCACUGGGUGUAAAGGGUGCGUAGGCGGUUAGUUAAGUCUGAUGUGAAAUCCCUCGGCUCAACUGGGGAACUGCACAGGAGACUGCUUGGCUUGAGUUCGGGAGAGGGAAGCGGAAUUCCGGGUGUAGCGGUGAAAUGCGUAGAUAUCCGGAGGAACACCGGUGGCGAAGGCGGCUUCCUGGACCGACACUGACGCUGAGGCGCGAAAGCCAGGGGAGCAAACGGG